Long non-coding RNA from Mobula hypostoma (lesser devil ray), 1833 nucleotides. RefSeq lists it as uncharacterized. The record is from RefSeq and is a predicted model, not a curated record. Lineage: Eukaryota; Metazoa; Chordata; Chondrichthyes; Myliobatiformes; Myliobatidae. The transcript is spliced from 4 exons.
UGGGGCACCUCCUAAAAAACAAACGGGUUGUAGAGUUUUCUAUGUCUGAAAAUGGAGUGUUUGCGGUAAGAGGAUUUACGGUAAACCUCAAACAAUGAGGGAAGUCUGUCUAAGGACCGGACGCUUCGUCCACAAUGUGCAACCUGCACCCAAUCCUCGUCUAUUUUUCAUUGACAAUCGGCUGCAGCAUUUUCCUCGGGCCAGGGAGAUGCAAUGCCUUUCAAACGGCGCGUCAUUUCCGUAUGAAUUGUAGUUUUGAACAGUUUGUUAUGGGCAAGGGCUCGGGUUACCUUUAAGACGUUGGACUCGACACCCUUUAAAGACCUAACGCUCCCGGACGACCAUUCAAGGAAUCUGGUUUUCUCUUUUUAAAAAGUGUACAUUAAGGAAGGUUUGUGGUAGUUUUCCGACAGGCUUUUGGUGUAGGAGAUCUGAAGGUGGUCCCUCUUUCAACGCUGUUAAAGUUUGCAGAAAGCGCGUUACGAUAAGUAGACGGCGCACGCCAGGUGCCGCAGGAGUGUGAAGCUUUGUCAAAUGGGAAAUGCCGGGAGGAGAGUGAGAAAGAUCAAACCACUGCAACCAAGGGAUCUGAAGUCUGCAGAAGCAGAAGAUAAUCAGCGUGGGUUUCCGAUCCUCUGUCCUGGCCUCUGGCAUCACAAGCCUGUUCUCGACUCUGUGACUGAGGGGUAAAUUAGAAGGUGAACAAGCAAAUGCUAACCGACCCGCUGAGUAUUUCCAAAUAUUACUGUUUGUUGCGAUGUCAGUGAGAAAUCGACCCACACCUCUUCUUGUACCGCACAGGGCAGCCAAAACUAAAAUGAUCCAUCAGUUACAGGUCCUGGAACGGUAACAGUCACGAUGUUUUGACCAGAGUGGAGCUGGAACAUCGGAAACAUUUUAACUGAAGGAAUUCGUUUUAAUUUUGACCACUACCAUCAUUCUGUUCGACAUGCCUGCUUGUUCUCAGCAACAUAACUUCUCAGUGAAUAUUCAAUUUGCACUCUAACAUUUAGUAUAAAAUGUAUUUUUCUACAUUAACUCAAUGAAAUUCAGUUCGCAAUUUCGUAUAUAUUGUAAGUGGGGUUAACCCUACCGAACGGAAUUGCUUUCACUGGUGUGCGAAGGUCUGUAAUCGAUAUUUGGUAACUGCAGCAGAAUUUAAGCAAAAUGGAAGGAUGUUGCUUUGUCAUCAGUCUGAAGCAAUGCAAAAUGUAUUAGCAAAAUUUAUUGGCUAUCCGUAAAACUGCGGAAAAUAAAUGUGGUAAAAAUAAAAACAUUGCACAAAGUGAAUAAUGUCCAUUUGUGAUAAAGUUAACCACCACUGCAUCAAAUUCUAUGAAUUAAAAUUGUUUACAAAAUUGCUCGCCCUUUUACAGUAACGUGAAUAUGCAAAUUUACCACUUGUAACAUUGUUCCGAAAGGGUGUGUUAUUUUAAGCUCCUCUGUUAUCUGUUUAAAUCCAUAAUAAUUUUCGUAGAGGUAGAUGUGGCUUUGAGCCAAACCGUCCCAGCAAACCGGAUUCAUCUACAAUCCCAGCGCAUCCCCAGCUCGGCCAAACAGGGUACUGUAUAAUGAGUUUAACGUUGAGACUAUAAUAAUUUCCAUUCCAAGUUGGCCCCGAGGAAAGUGUGAGGGAAUUGGGAAUACCGCAGCAGAUUUGAACUGAAUUCCCAUAGACUACAGCGCUAGUGGAAAAGUGCUGGUCUGAAUUUAAAGAAAGAGACAUUGAUACCUUUUAUUUCAGGAGAGUUCCGAAAACCGCUUUUUUAGCAAGUAGAUUUUGUAACUUUCUUCUUUAAACUCCCAACGAAUGACAAUGACCAGAAGAAAUAA